UAGCCACUAUUUGUCCUUGUCUGUUUGCUGUCUUGAUGUAUUAAUUUGAUGUAAUGCGCAAGCGUUUGUAUUCUGUAGACCUGGAUCCACGGUCAUCUGUAUUCUGGGCGGCUUUGAGGAGGAGCUGAAGGGCUCUGAACUUCUCUCCCGCUACCCUGGGGGACGCCCCAGGGAUCUGUAGAGCCCGAGGGGCUCAGCACGAAUCCUAGAAAUUCGUGCGUCUGUAGGGUGGAGUUUUCACUUCCCCAUCUGAAUUAGUACUUUCGGUUUGCUGCAGCCAUCUGAAUUUGUACUUUCGGUUUGUCACCGAAGUUGCGCUUUGCGUCGCCGGCUGUCUGUUCUGUCUUUGUCAUGUCUUUGUUUUUGUAUUUUGUUUCGUUUCUGUUUGUACUCGAGUCUAAACCUGGUACCAUGGGACAGUAAACAAGUAUCCACCGCUGACCUUUGCUCUAACUUUAGAGAGAAGUUGCAGACCAAGCCGUGGAAAUCCGAGAGACGGCAAGCAGUCUGCUUCCUGGAAUGGCCACCAGGAGAAUUUAUCCAGGGAACUCCCCUACUCUGGGUAAAACCAUUUUUAUUACAGAGCAUGGUGCAGAUGUUAGCGGCAGUCUGCCCCUCCCCUGUCUCUUUUCCCAUGCAGGAGCGAAAAAAACCCAGAAAACUCUGCCUUCCUGGUACCCAGCCCGACCUCCCGCUUGCUGUUGUUGUUGUUGCGAUUGCCAAGCCCUACCCCGAAUGUGCGCUGCGCUGCGCUUGGCUAGUUCUGGUUAGUUCUCGGUGGCGAAGGGCACCGCGCUGAUGAGAGCAAUGGCUGGACUUGCCAACCGGCACCUUGGGGGUGGCCGCCGCUGGUGGGCCGCAGAUGAGGAAGAGCGCAGGCAGCCACGGGACCCUGCCAAAUGGGCCAGGGCCGUGACAGACAGGCCGAGAAGGGGGGGGGGGGGAGAAAAACAGCAGUGCGGCCAGAACACAUAGGCCCGGAUACAAACUCGUCGGGGAGCUGCGGGCCGUGCUGCCCAGACGUGGGGAGGGAGCAGCGUCGGCUCCUGCCGGAAACACAGGGGGCGGGGCCGCGUGUGUGCUGGCUCCCACGUCCUACGGAGCGGAGGCGGAGGCGGCUGCGAGCGGCGGUCCGCCUGCGCUCGCCGAUAGGAUUUGCUAAAGGAUACAAAAGAGCCAUAGAGAGAGAGAGAGUUACAAACUGGACCAGGCGAACUGCCAGGUGGCACAAAAAGGAACGCUAGGUGCGCGCCCCGAAAGGAGGGCGGAGGGCGGAGAGACGUGGGCGCGCAGCCCACAAGGAGCCUAUGUCCCGCCCGCAGCUUAAAGUUAGGGACUAUAAUAGAUUCAAAGGUUCCUACAGACCCAAUAGAGACAUAACUAAGUCUUGGGAUGAUUUGUUGACUAAUUUUCUGAGAUUUCAAUAUAUUAGGAUCCAAAGUGGCUGUGCCAGUUUACAUUUCCACCAAUGGUAAAGGAGUUUCUCUUUUACAUAGGUUAUGAGCAGUAUUUGAUCUUGAUCAUGUUAUAGGAAUAAGAUAGAGUCUCAUGAGUUAUUUUGAUUCACAUUUCUCCAAUGAUUAAAGAUGUUAUAUUUGAGAAUCUUUUAAAUAUCUUUCAGUCAUUUUAAGUCCAUCUGUUGAGAGUUUACAGUUUAGGUCUGUAACAUAAUUUUUUUUGGAUUAUUUGUUCUUAUGAGGACUAAGUUCCUAAUUUUCUUAUAAAAAUAUCUUCCCAUUCUACAGGCUGAUGUUAUGUUCUGUUGAUUAUAUCCUUUGCUAUACAGAAAGCUUCUCAGUUCUGGAGAUCUCAUUUAUUGAUUGAUUGUUUCUCUCAAUGUCUAUGCCACUGAGGCUAUGUUUAAAAAUGUAUUUAAAACCCUUUUUCUUCUAUGCGGUUCAAUAUUGUUGGUUUUAUGUUAAGCUCUUUGAUUUGUUUGGAUUUUAGUUUUGUGCAUAGAGAAAUAUGGAUCCACUUUCAUUCUUUUACAUGAUGGUGUCCAAUUAAUUCUUAAAGGGAAAAACUGACAGUCAAAAUGCUGGGCUCAUGGCAAUUCUCAGGGGGGCUACAAGGCACCCCACUAAUUCGGCCAAGGAAAGAGAGGUUCUCCAGGGGCCAGUUAGAAUCUAUGUUCCUUAAAUGUUUAAUGAAGAUUUACAGGCAUCUUACCCAACCUCUAAAGUCAACAGGCAGCGAUAGCCAUGGCUUUCAUAGGGCAGUCAACAUCAGAUAUAAGGAAGAAGUUACAGCAGAUAGAUAGGUUGCAAGACUAUACCUUGCAGAAUUUGGGGAGACAGAGAAAAUGUUAAACGAGAGACAGAAAAAAUGAAGCAAAAGAGAGAAAAGCAGAAGACAGAGAAAAGAGAAAACCGGAGGGAUCAUAGACAGGAAAUUUGGACUCAGACAGAUAGGGAGCCUGGGCAAUAGAAGAGGACCAAAGACAAAUAAAGAUAAACAGAGGCACCCCUUGGACAAAGGCUAUUGUGCUUAUUGCAAGAAAAAGGACAUUAGAUACCUCUAUAGAUUUUUUUAAGGACACAUAAAUGACUCAUUCCUCCCUGGUCAUCCCUGAAUGUAUGACCAAAGGCUUUUGCUGACCAAACGAGGGACUUUUACUUUUCCUGCUGUUUUCAGUUCUGCAGAAGAUGCAGGCUGCUUGCCUGCCUCUGCCUUCACCACACCCUCCUCACCAGGAUGACCACUGCCCCAUGCCAUCGCCACCGGAGAAAUCCUUGCCUCCUAGCAACUGUCCUGGUGCCACACUUGUCUUAAAGCCUGCAGGAGCCCUGGCUGCUCACCCUGCAGUCUGCUCCCCUCACUCGUGUCAGACUGCAAUAGAGCACUCACAAUGCUACCACAGGUGCCCUCCUGCACCAGGCUGCUGCUCCUGUGCCCUGCUCACGUCGAUGGACUAUGGAUCAUAUCAGCAUCUGCAGAAAGGACUGGCGGCUGGCAGAAUGGCAGGCUGAGCAGCGCCAGGCAGAGCCGGAAAUAAUGGCGAAGCUUGCCUGGGGCACAAGGCUGGGAGUCGGAGCCAAGUAGGUAUACAAGACUGAAGGUAAGCGAAAGGUGGGGGCAGGAAUGAUGAACAGGAAGCGAAUGAUUUGGAUGAAUAGCUUCCCUUCAGGGAUAUUGGCCCACCCAGAAGGCUGAACUUGUGACAUUGACACAAAUUCUAUGGAUGGCAGAGGAAACAUCUACACUGACAACAGGUAUGCUUUUGCCACCACCCAUAUACACGGAGCAAUAUACAGACAAAGAGGACUGCUGACACUUGCGGAAAUCUUGAGUCUCCUCACGGCCACACAUUUGCCAAAGAAGAUAGCCAACAUACAUUGGUCAGGACUGAGACAGCCAAUGUAAUGGCUAAGAAGAUCAAAAAAAAAAUCUUCCCGAGGUUUGGGAUGCCCAAGGUAAUCAUGUCCGAUAAUAGACCUGCCUUUGUUGCCCAGUUCUCACAAUAGGCACAACCCUUGUACAUUUGGAUGAAGAUGAAGCUGAUGCUAUAGAACAUAAUGGAAGCCGGUGAAUGUCAUAUGGUGCCAGCUGGGCUGAAGCUAACCUCUCAGGCGCAUUCUCUGGAAUUGAGGAUCAACACUCCCAGUGUCUACAGCAAAGGAGAUUUGUCUUCAUAAUACUGAACUUGCCUUUUAAGGGAAACAUUGUUUUACAAUGAUAAGGCAUCCAUAUGUUUCUUAGGACUGAGAUAGUCAAUAGACUAUUGCCACAAUGAUGGGUGCUAAUCCCAGGUCUGCAAUGGUUCACAAUGUCUACCAUGUAGUUACUUUCAAGCUUCAUUCAUCAGAUAAUUUUACUAAGCGCUAUUCUGAAGUAAUGCUAGUUCUCAUGUGGUUAUUGUCUGAGCAAGUCUUUUGAUUUUGUUUUCAAUAUAUAGCUGGGCCCCUACUUAUUUUGCUUCUUAUCAUUACAGUCGGCCCCUGCAUUUUAAAUCACCUGGUGCAACCUAUGAAAGACAGGCUUUUAGUUAUCCAGACUCUGGUCCUGACCCACCAAUAUCAGCAACUGAGACAAUAGGAGACAGAAAUAUCAUGAUCAGUUUGAGUUAAAGAAUUAACUCAA
Myodes glareolus (Bank vole) is the source of this 4080-nucleotide non-coding RNA. Lineage: Eukaryota; Metazoa; Chordata; Mammalia; Rodentia; Cricetidae. The record is from RefSeq and is a predicted model, not a curated record.